CAUGAAAAUGGAGAUGUAGACAGGAUUUUUUAAAAGAUGUCAACUUUAUUGAGAAAUUCCUGGUGGAUCUUAAGUGAAUCUUCAAGCUCCUCCCUGAGUGCUCACCUCCAGAAAGGUAUGGCUUCCACUCCUACAGGUUUGUGAUUUC
RNAcentral lists this long non-coding RNA (148 nucleotides) under Ictidomys tridecemlineatus (thirteen-lined ground squirrel). RNAcentral describes it as "lncRNA (ENSSTOG00000030460.1)". Lineage: Eukaryota; Metazoa; Chordata; Mammalia; Rodentia; Sciuridae. The record is from RNAcentral.